Molecule: long non-coding RNA, 2035 nt
Organism: Homo sapiens (human)
Lineage: Eukaryota; Metazoa; Chordata; Mammalia; Primates; Hominidae
Source: Ensembl
AGGUGUAUGGACUUAGCAAAACCAGUCAUAAUGAUUUUUCUAUAUCAAAACCAGCCCUAACAAUUUUUAUACAACUUUUAAAUAAAAACAGUGGAAAAUACAAUAAAUAAGUCCUCUAAAUAAAGCUGUGGUAUGAAGUUUAAAUGCCCCAAGUCAGAAGUCAAUUGGAUGUCUCUGUCUGAGCUGAGAGCACAUGACAUACAACGAAACCACAUGGACAGACACAACCCCGAAUGCCAAUUCCAGUGUCCUGUGCAGUGAUGACCACACUGUUAGAAGCAUUUUAACUCUUGUUUUUACAAACUUUCUUUUUACAUAUAUGUUAGCGGUCAAAGAACUCUGUUUUUCUUGGUCCAAACCAGAGGAAAUUUAUUGUCCAAACCAGACCCACCCCAAUGCAUUUGCCUCUGAUGUGAGAAAGAAACACUAGGGCUUCAACCAGAUGAGGGGCGUUUAGGAAAACCCACAGCUGAAGUCACAUUCAAUGCGGAACACUGGGCACCUCCCCCUAAGGUCAGGAACAAGACGAGGGUGUCCGCUCUUAUUCCUUUCAGCCUCGGCACUGAUGGUCCUAGGGCAACUCUAUGUUGACGCCUCUGAGGAACUGCCGGGCUGCAGUGAAUCCAGGUGACCUCACAGAAACUUGUAUGUGAGCAUUCGCAGCGGCAUCAUUCACAGUGGCCAGGAGGUGGAAACAACCCCGAUGUCCAUCAACUGAUGAACCAACCGAUGAACACAGGGUGACCUGUCCAUACAGUGGGGUCUCAGCCACAGAGGGAGCAAGGCCGUGAAACCUGCAGCGGGAGCAAGGCGGUGAAACCCGCAGAGGGAGCAAGGCCGUGAAACCCGCAGCGGGAGCAAGGCAGUGAAACCCUCAGAGGGAGCAAGGCCGUGAAACCCGCAGCGGGAGCGAGGCGCGGAAACAGGCCAUGACACGGACGAGCCACACCAUGGAUGACCCCACGGACACGCCACCAAAGCACCAUCAUGCUGAGUGACAGAAGCCAGGCACCCAGACCAUGCACCGUAUGAUUCCUUUCACGUGAAAUUUCCAGAACAGGGAAAUGCAGAGCGACAGAAAGCAGGGUCAGGCCCCGUUCGGAGAGAUUGCCAUGGUUCUGAGAAACGCAUCAUUUGGUGACUGGUCAUCAUGCAAACAUCCUUGAGCGCACUCACACAACCUGGAGGAUGUAGCUCACUGGAUGCCCAGGCUACGUGGAGUAGCCCAUUGCUCUGGGGCUACACACCCAUACAUCGUGUUACUGUGCUGAAUACACUAGGCAACUGUGAUACAAUGGAGAUCACAGAAGGCCAACAAAGAGGCCUGGGGCACGUCAACGUGGUCCUCAUCGGACUGGCCAAUGGUUCCUUCCUAACUCAACCAAGGGCCACUGCGCCACCGCAGCUGUGGGACCGUAUCUCUGGAUGAUAAGCUGAGUCCAACACAAACACAACAGAACCCAAAAGAAUGCCCAGAAUGCCAAGAACAGUGAACAGCCAUACGCAAACGGGCAAUACUGAUGUUAGCUUUAAAAGUAAGGAGUUCAGAGUGCUCUGUGCUGAACAUCUUUCGGUGUAAUUAAGCCUUCAUAUUCCUGAGGAGGAGCUACUAAGACACCCUACCAAGUCCUGGGCUGUGCCUGGAGGUUAGAAAACGAACCACAUAGUCCUGUAAUGACAGAAAAAAUUGAAAACUGUAUUUUAAAAAUGAUUUCUCAACAAGACCAGCCGGCCACUCAACCACUUCAGUACCUCGUUUCUGGAUGAAGACCCUGAGCAGGGGAUUUGCACUAGAAACCGCCUUGCAGAAGUUGUCAUCAUUGUUGAUGGGCAGCAGGUCUCCGUGCACAUCUGCAUAGCCAAUAGUUACAUCACUGUUGGAGAUAUGGUGGGUGUGCACAACCAGCUUGUAGAAAUCUUCAAACUUCCCAGGCUUAUGACGGUCCAGAGAGAACCUUCGGAAUUCCGCCCCAAACUACAAUGCAAGAGACGGGGUGGGGGGAGGGGCAUUAAUAAAUACCAGAGAAAUAUCCAG